GAAAAGCAGGCAACAUUCACUAGGACCUUACCUUAUGCGCCUUGCUCCAAGCGCAAGGCUCUAGAAAGGCGCGUCUUAUUUAUUUCUACUUUCGGUGAGCACUUUUAUUGAUAAAAAGCACUACUGCUCAACUCGAAAUUUGUCGAUCUAUAAGAAUAUGAUUUUGACACAUUAUGAAGUUUUUAAAAUUAAUAUUAUUGGUGAUAACUAGUUGCCAAAAUCUCGUCAAGCCAUCACACAAAAUAUAACAAACCUCUCAAAUUUUCAUUUUCAACGCCACCACUCUCUUAUUAUCUUCUUCU
RNAcentral lists this unclassified non-coding RNA (302 nucleotides) under Hevea brasiliensis (rubber tree). Lineage: Eukaryota; Viridiplantae; Streptophyta; Magnoliopsida; Malpighiales; Euphorbiaceae. The record is from RNAcentral.